GACCAUGGGCCUGAGAACAUGGUGACUCCAGCCUUGUGAGAGGAAUCAGAGGACCCAGACGAGUUACACUGUAACCAGACUUCGGAACCAGCCAGGGAGUGAACCCAUGUCCCCUGCAUUGCAAGGUGGAUUCUUAACCACUGGAACCACCUGGGGAUCUUCCCGACCCAGGGAUCGAACCCACGUCUCUUGCAUCUCUUGCACUGGCAGGCGGAUUCUUUACCACUGCACCACCUGGGAAUCCCUGGCUCGAAAUGUGGAAGCAACUACAGUGUCUCAAAGGACUAAAUACCUUGUGAUGACUCUUCUCAUCUGUUACCAAUGCCCAGCGAAUGCAAACAAGGACUCACAAAGGCAGAGGGAUAAACAUAUUUAAGCCAGACCUAUUUCCAGAGAAAUAAAUUAAAGAUGGUUCAAACAAACGCUUCAAACACACAAGAAUAAUGAUUUCCCCAUGGAUACAUUGUGUGCUUGCUGGCACUAUAACUUUGGCCUUACAUGCAGGAGCCCAUAAAAAGUUAGGGGCAGGAUAAAAAGAAACAAGGAGUGCACAGUGGAGUGAAGCCAUUCGCACUGCAGCCGAAUAUCGCUGCCCCAAAUUACCCCGCCGGAGUCUGCUGUCUGGGGAUUCCAGACACCUGGAAUGCAGCGAAUUCAAUGUCUGUGGAAGCACCAUCCGUGGAUGCUAAGACACGCCAGGACCCCUACCUUUUGCCUCCCUGUGAUUUUUUGGGGACCAUGCUUUUUAGCCUGCCCACAAGGUAGGUUUGCCCAUGGCUAUCUGUCUCCUUUUUUUUUCUUUUUGCAGAGAAAAAUGCCAAAGCAGAUACGCAGCUGGGCAGUGGAGGAGUGGCUCUGUUCCAUGGGGGAGACUGGGUUAUUUCAGAUGACCUCUCUGCACCCCUGAACACCAUGAGAGACUUUAGCUACCUCGCUCAGGUUCAUCUGGCCCUGAUCCCCAGACCACCUGUAGGUAUUCUCAUGACCCUGACUGUAGUCCAUAGCUUAACAGAGAGAUUCAGGGGAAAUCAGUGCCGCCAACUACAUCCAUUUUGAUCUGCUCCUAAGCCCUCCACUGGGAACAUCACCAAUAUGGCAAACAUCUUGAAAAGGUCCAUUUCUGUGCCUCCUUGCCGAGGGUUUCCAGGGUCUCGGGGUCCAUCGAAAGUGACGAGUUGUUUUGAGUUGUGUCCAGUAUUUUCACAGUAUGUUUCUUCGCCACAAAGAUUUUUGCCCUGAACAUUUUCACUGCAUAAGUAAUUGGCCAUAAAGCAAUUGCGUCAUAAGAGGAAAAAUAACUGGCUGACAGUUUGGUUUGAAGUAUACAGUACAAAGAUCACGACAGAUAACAGUGAUUUGUCCUGAGAGUUGAUUUCUUUAUUUUGAAACACUGGAGGAGAAAGAGGCCUUGAGGGCACAGGGUCGAGCCCUCAUUUUCCAUAGAACUUUGGAACAUUUCUCCGUGGACACACGACAAUAUGCCAAGGACAUACAAUGGUGUAGAGGCUUUCACAGCUCAAUAAAGCUCAGUUGCAAACAUGCAUCCUGUGUUGGGAAACUGAUACCUCUUUCUACCUUUUUAAAAAGUUUUUAAUUUUUUAUUUAUUUUUGGCUGUGCUGGGUCUUCAUUGCUGUGCAUGAUGCUAUAGUAGGGUAAUGG
Long non-coding RNA from Bos taurus (domestic cattle), 1660 nucleotides. The record is from Ensembl. Lineage: Eukaryota; Metazoa; Chordata; Mammalia; Artiodactyla; Bovidae.